GACGAACGCUGGCGGCGUGCUUAACACAUGCAAGUCGAGCGGUAAGGCCCUUUCGGGGUACGACGAGCGGCGAACGGGUGAGUAACACGUGGGUGACCUGCCCUCAGCUCUGGGAUAAGCCUGGGAAACCGGGUCUAAUACUGGAUAUGACUCCAUGACGCAUGUUGUGGGGUGGAAAGCCUUGUGCGGCUGAGGAUGGGCCCGCGGCCUAUCAGCUUGUUGGUGGGGUGAGGCCUACCAAGGCGACGACGGGUAGCCGGCCUGAGAGGGCGACCGGCCACACUGGGACUGAGACACGGCCCAGACUCCUACGGGAGGCAGCAGUUGGGGAAUCUUGCGCAAAUGGGCGAAAAGCCUGACGCAGCGACGCCGCGUGAGGGAUGACGGCCUC
RNAcentral lists this ribosomal RNA (391 nucleotides) under uncultured bacterium. Its description in RNAcentral is "bacterial SSU rRNA". It matches the Rfam family "Bacterial small subunit ribosomal RNA", at positions 28 to 418 of the family's 1533-position model. The record is from RNAcentral.